UACGUAGGGUGCAAGCGUUGUCCGGAAUUAUUGGGCGUAAAGAGCUCGUAGGCGGUCUGUCACGUCGGCUGUGAAAACCCGAGGCUCAACCUCGGGCCUGCAGUCGAUACGGGCAGACUAGAGUUCGGUAGGGGAGACUGGAAUUCCUGGUGUAGCGGUGGAAUGCGCAGAUAUCAGGAGGAACACCGGUGGCGAAGGCGGGUCUCUGGGCCGUUACUGACGCUGAGGAGCGAAAGCGUGGGGAGCGAACAGG
RNAcentral lists this ribosomal RNA (253 nucleotides) under uncultured bacterium. RNAcentral describes it as "partial 16S ribosomal RNA". It matches the Rfam family "Bacterial small subunit ribosomal RNA", at positions 524 to 776 of the family's 1533-position model. The record is from RNAcentral.